This 140-nucleotide ribosomal RNA is filed under the name uncultured eukaryote. RNAcentral describes it as "partial 18S ribosomal RNA". It matches the Rfam family "Eukaryotic small subunit ribosomal RNA", at positions 1299 to 1458 of the family's 1831-position model. The record is from RNAcentral.
UGGUGGAGUGAUUUGUCUGCUUGAUUGCGUAAAACGAACGAGACUCUAGCCUGCUAAAUAGAUUGGCGAUCUCAUAGGUCAACCAAACGCUUCUUAGAGGGACAAGUGGCGUCUCAGCCACGCGAAAUUGAGCAAUAACA